UUUAAGACUUUGAUGUCUGGGUC
Molecule: small nuclear RNA, 23 nt
Filed under: Arabidopsis thaliana (thale cress)
Lineage: Eukaryota; Viridiplantae; Streptophyta; Magnoliopsida; Brassicales; Brassicaceae
Description: snRNA_07742
Source: RNAcentral